Molecule: non-coding RNA, 883 nt
Organism: Labrus bergylta (ballan wrasse)
Lineage: Eukaryota; Metazoa; Chordata; Actinopteri; Labriformes; Labridae
Source: RefSeq, a predicted model, not a curated record
GCAGCUCCUGCAAUUGAAAGACAAUGUUUAGAUUUAGUUUGGACCAACAAAGACAAUCGUCAUAGCAAAGCAUGCACAGUGUGAUGUGUUAGCUGGUAACAGGCCCUGGUUGAAACAAGAAGGAGCUCGUCCAUCAUCCUCUGCUUGUCUUGGAUCUCUGAGGCGGCUGAGCUGCUUGUGGUGGUUCUCCAGCUGCUCCUCCAGAGUUUUGUGGAGAUGUAUAAACAGAUUAGAGACAAUACAAAGUGUGUUUGUGUCCUCACCUUGAUGUCCUCGUCUCCAUCAUGUCUCUCUCUCUCCUCCACCUCUUGGCUCUUCUGGUCGUAGUUGACGGCGAGCUCCUCCAGCGCCUGCAGCACCUCCUUCACCUCCUUCACCUCCUCCUUCAGCUGGUUCUCCGUUUGCAGCCGGCACAGCUCCUCUUGGGAGGGACGUGGGGUCAGAUCUAUUCUUGUCAUCCAGCUGUUUGUACAGGUUGCUGAUGUCCUCCUCGUAUUUGCUCCGCUCGUUGCAACAAUAUAUUAUUUCUUUCACAAAGGUCAUUGCUGAGUUACUGGAUGCCUGCAGGUUAGCGUCUGAAGUGUACCUGUAGGUCUGUCUUCAUGAGCGAGGCUCCUGCUUCAACCAGAUAAUGACAGAUAGUUCUUUGACACAGGGACGCAGCUCGGUCUCCCCCCUGGUCAACAGAAAAGAGAGAGAGAGACAACAUCACCCGAGGAACAGACAUCAACCCCCCUGCUGCUUCUUUUGGUGUCUUGUGUUUAUGAUGGCACAUAUAUCAUCACAUAUAGACUGAACAGAGAUCAGAGCACAGAUACAGGAACAGCAUCAUCAUCUACACUCUGUUAACAUUUAAAUAAAGUGUUUAACAUUUUAAAAACCU